RNAcentral lists this ribosomal RNA (320 nucleotides) under uncultured bacterium. RNAcentral describes it as "bacterial SSU rRNA". It matches the Rfam family "Bacterial small subunit ribosomal RNA", at positions 28 to 334 of the family's 1533-position model. The record is from RNAcentral.
GAUGAACGCUGACAGAAUGCUUAACACAUGCAGGUUGAACGUGAAAGCUCCUUCGGGAGUGAGUAGAGUAGCAGACGGGUGAGUAAAGCAUAGGUAAUCUUCCCUCGAGUGGGGGACAACUCGCCGAAAGGCGGGCUAAUCCCGCAUGAUGUCAUUUGCUUCAGGGUGAAUGACCAAAGGGGGGGCUUCUUCGGAACCUCCCGCUUGAGGAUGAGCUUAUGUCCUAUUAGCUUGUUGGUGGGGUAAUGGCCUACCAAGGCACUGAUGGGUAGCCGAGCUGAGAGGCUGAUCGGCCACACUGGAACUGAGACACGGUCCAG